Pteropus alecto (black flying fox) is the source of this 573-nucleotide long non-coding RNA. RefSeq lists it as uncharacterized. The record is from RefSeq and is a predicted model, not a curated record. NCBI's taxonomy places the organism in Eukaryota, Metazoa, Chordata, Mammalia, Chiroptera, Pteropodidae. The transcript is spliced from 4 exons.
CCCGCCACCCAAGGGCGCUCCGGGCACGCCGCUCUGAGGCUUACCGCGGAGGUCGCGACGAGAGGCUGGACCGAGGUGGCGCGCCGCUUGCGGACCCGCAGGUGUUCCUUUGCUACAGUGGACGGUGACUCUGCUCUUCUGCCUGCGAGUGGUUCAAAAUGUACCCAGCGUGUCUCUGUGGCUGUCCCCUCAGACUUUCUUCACACAGAGCUUCCCGCCAGCUCACUCUGGUGAGUACUCGGUGGUCAGACGCGCAGGACCAACCACAAAAGUGACCCAGUUCCCUGUUCUGCGUGACACAGCUGAGCUCGGGGUUGAUGAGUAGGCCCGAGUCGCACAGGGGCGAGCGGCAGUCUCUCUCACCUGACUCUGGGGUUCCCCUUGAAGAAGCAAGGUCAUGAUCUCAUGGACUUCCAUAAGCUGCCCACGGUGCUGUUAACAGGGGGUUCAAACCGAAAAAGGCAAUAGAAGCGGUGUUUGGAACCGCCGGUCGGCGCUCUGAGCGUCACUGUGCUGAACCCCGACUCAGAGCCGUCCUGGUGUGCAGCCUGCUCACCUGAGACUCCCGCCAAC